RNAcentral lists this ribosomal RNA (384 nucleotides) under uncultured bacterium. RNAcentral's name for it is "bacterial SSU rRNA". It matches the Rfam family "Bacterial small subunit ribosomal RNA", at positions 30 to 424 of the family's 1533-position model. The record is from RNAcentral.
AUUGAACGCUGGCGGCAGGCUUAACACAUGCAAGUCGAGCGGAGACUUCGGUCUUAGCGGCGAACGGGUGAGUAAUACCUAGGAAUCUGCCCAUUAGCGGGGGACAACGUUUCGAAAGGAACGCUAAUACCGCAUACGCCCUACCGGGGGAAAGGACAGGGGAGUCUUUUGUACCUUGCACUAAUGGAUGAGCCUAGGCCGGAUUAGCUAGUUGGUAGGGUAAAGGCCUACCAAGGCGACGAUCUGUAGCUGGUCUGAGAGGAUGACCAGCCACACUGGAACUGAGACACGGUCCAGACUCCUACGGGAGGCAGCAGUGGGGAAUAUUGGACAAUGGCGCAAGCCUGAUCCAGCCAUGCCGCGUGUGUGAAGAAGGCCUCGGUU